AGCUUUAUGCUAUUUACCUAAAGUAUAUCCUGCUCAGUGAAAAUAAACAGCCGCAGAAUUUUAUACUGUGCUAAGGUAGCAUAAUCACUUGUCUUUUAAUUAAAGAAUAGAAUGAACGGAAAAACGAAUCUUAACCUGUUUCAUCUUUUUCUAAUAAAAUUACCAUAAAGUAAAAAAGCUUUAAAACACAAAAAAGACGACAAGACCCUAAAGAACUUCACUAAAGUUUAGCUGGGGCGGCUUUCUAAAAAAAUCUUAUCUAAUUUCAUCUCAACACUACUUUAUCCAAAGUUACCUUAGGGAUAACAGCAUAAUUUAAUUUUACAGCUCUUAUUUAAAAUCAAGAUUAUGACCUCGAUGUUGAAUUAAGCCUCUUUUAGCUGAAAACCUCUAACUAGAAAGUCUGUUCGACUUUUAAA
This 419-nucleotide ribosomal RNA is filed under the name Dysdera sp. MB. RNAcentral's name for it is "partial 16S ribosomal RNA". It matches the Rfam family "Bacterial large subunit ribosomal RNA", at positions 1829 to 2592 of the family's 2925-position model. Lineage: Eukaryota; Metazoa; Arthropoda; Arachnida; Araneae; Dysderidae. The record is from RNAcentral.